This 85-nucleotide transfer RNA is filed under the name Felis catus (domestic cat). It matches the Rfam family "tRNA". From Rfam's summary of the family: Transfer RNA (tRNA) molecules are approximately 80 nucleotides in length. Their secondary structure includes four short double-helical elements and three loops (D, anti-codon, and T loops). The record is from Rfam by way of RNAcentral. RNAcentral also lists the same sequence under 1 other name. Lineage: Eukaryota; Metazoa; Chordata; Mammalia; Carnivora; Felidae.
GCCUGGGUGGCUCAGUGGGUUGAGCGUCCGACUUCAGCUCAGGGCAUGAUCUCACGGUUCGUGGGUUCGAGCCCCACGUUGGGCC